This is a small nuclear RNA of Molossus molossus (Pallas's mastiff bat), 159 nucleotides long. RefSeq annotates it as U1 spliceosomal RNA. NCBI's taxonomy places the organism in Eukaryota, Metazoa, Chordata, Mammalia, Chiroptera, Molossidae. The record is from RefSeq and is a predicted model, not a curated record. The transcript has a single exon.
AUACUUACCUGGCCGGGAGAUACCAUGAUCACGAAGGUGGUUUAUCCAAGGCAAGGCUUAUCCAUUGCACUCCAGAUGUGCUGACCCCUGCAAUUUCCCCAAAUGUGGGAAACUGCAUAAUUUGUGGUAGUGGGGGGACUGCGUUCUCGCUCUCAACUA